CCUACGGGUGGCUGCAGUCGAGAAUCAUUCACAAUGGGGGAAACCCUGAUGGUGCGACGCCGCGUGGGGGAAUGAAGGUCUUCGGAUUGUAAACCUCUGUCAUGUGGGAGCAAAUUAAAAAGAUAGUACCACAAGAGGAAGAGACGGCUAACUCUGUGCGAGCAGCCGCGGUAAUACAGAGGUCUCAAGCGUUGUUCGGAAUCACUGGGCGUAAAGCGUGCGUAGACUGUUUCGUAAGUCGUGUGUGAAAGGUGCGGGCUCAACCGGCGGACGGCACAUGAUACUGGGAGACUUGAGUAAAGGAGAGGGAAGCGGAAUUCGCGGUGUAGCAGUGAAAUGCGUAGAUAUCGAGAGGAACACUCGUGGCGAAGGCAGGUUCCUAGACAUUGACUGACACUGAGGCACGAAGGUCAGGGUAGCGAAAGGGAUUAGAUACCCUAGUAGUC
This 446-nucleotide ribosomal RNA is filed under the name uncultured bacterium. RNAcentral's name for it is "partial 16S ribosomal RNA". It matches the Rfam family "Bacterial small subunit ribosomal RNA", at positions 338 to 795 of the family's 1533-position model. The record is from RNAcentral.